RNAcentral lists this unclassified non-coding RNA (149 nucleotides) under soil metagenome. RNAcentral's name for it is "partial internal transcribed spacer 1". The record is from RNAcentral.
CCGAGUUUACAACUCCCAAACCCCUGUGAACAUACCACUUGUUGCCUCGGCGGAUCAGCCCGCUCCCGGUAAAACGGGACGGCCCGCCAGAGGACCCCUAAACUCUGUUUCCUAUAUGUUAACUUCUGAGUAAAACCAUAAAUAAAUCA